UACGUAGGGUGCGAGCGUUAAUCGGAAUUACUGGGCGUAAAGCGUGCGCAGGCGGUUUGCUAAGAGAGAUGUGAAAUCCCCGGGCUCAACCCGGGAACUGCGUCCGAUACUGGCAGGCUUGAAUUCGGGAGAGGGAUGUGGAAUUCCAGGUGUAGCAGUGAAAUGCGUAGAGAUGUGGAGGAAUACCGAUGGCGAAGGCAGCCCCCUGGGCCAAUACUGACGCUCAUGCACGAAAGCGUGGGGAGCAAACGAAGG
This 255-nucleotide ribosomal RNA is filed under the name uncultured bacterium. RNAcentral's name for it is "partial 16S ribosomal RNA". It matches the Rfam family "Bacterial small subunit ribosomal RNA", at positions 524 to 778 of the family's 1533-position model. The record is from RNAcentral.